AUUGAACGCUGGCGGCAGGCUUAACACAUGCAAGUCGAGCGGGGUGAUGGUGCUUGCACUAUCACUUAGCGGCGGACGGGUGAGUAAUGCUUAGGAAUCUGCCUAUUAGUGGGGGACAACAUCUCGAAAGGGAUGCUAAUACCGCAUACGUCCUACGGGGGAAAGCAGGGGAUCACUUGUGACCUUGCGCUAAUAGAUGAGCCUAAGUCGGAUUAGCUUGGUGGUGGGGUAAAGGCCUACCAAGGCGACGAUCUGUAGCGGGUCUGAGAGGAUGAGCCGCCACACUGGGACCGAGACACGGCGCAGAUUCCUACCGGAGGGAGGAGUGGGGAAUAUUGGACAAUGGGGGGAACCCUGAUCCAGCCGUGCCGCGUUUGUGAAGAAGGGCUUAUGGUUGUAAAGCACUUUAAGCGAGGAGGAGGCUCUUGCGGUUAAUACCCAGAAUGAGUGGACGUUACUCGCAGAAUAAGCACCGGCUAACUCUGUGCCAGCCGCCGCAGUAA
Molecule: ribosomal RNA, 503 nt
Filed under: uncultured bacterium
Lineage: Bacteria
Description: partial 16S ribosomal RNA
Rfam family: Bacterial small subunit ribosomal RNA
Source: RNAcentral